This 387-nucleotide long non-coding RNA is filed under the name Phasianus colchicus (ring-necked pheasant). RNAcentral's name for it is "lncRNA (ENSPCLG00000007328.1)". Lineage: Eukaryota; Metazoa; Chordata; Aves; Galliformes; Phasianidae. The record is from RNAcentral.
CCAAGUCAUGUUCAAGAAGCAGAAGCCUGACCUCAGAGAUGACAUCGCCACUGGAGGAGGAGGAGAACGGCAGGAUCACCCCUGGCUGGCGAUGAAAGGAAAGGGCACCUUUCCUUGGAGUUUGCCAGCAACUUCUACUUGAUGUGACCAUGUCAGCACAGCAGAUUUAUGAUUUGUGAACCAAGUACGAGCCCGGAUCACAUCCGUCACUCAGUGCUGUUUGGAAUACAUUUUCUCCCAGUUGGAAAAACGAAUUGUGGAGUGACUCUACUCACAGAUAUCCUCCAUGGACCCAUUACAGGAAGGAUGCAGGGCUCAAUGGUCCUUUGGUUUCAACUGAAUUGCAUGCAAUGCUGUGCUAGCUGGAUUCUGUUGGGGAAAAUGUGA